UGCGAACUCCUACGGGAGGCAGCAGUAGGGAAUUUUCGGCAAUGGGGGAAACCCUGACCGAGCAACGCCGCGUGAGUGAUGACGGCCUUCGGGUUGUAAAGCUCUGUUGUAAGGGAAGAACGGUAGAUAGAGAAUAUCUAAGUGACGGUACCUUACCAGAAAGCCACGGCUAACUACGUGCCAGCAGCCGCGGUAAUACGUAGGUGGCGAGCGUUAUCCGGAAUUAUUGGGCGUAAAGGGUGCGUAGGCGGCCUGUUAAGUAAGUGGUUAAAUUGUUGGGCUCAACCCAAUCCAGCCACUUAAACUGGCAGGCUAGAGUAUUGGAGAGGCAAGUGGAAUUCCAUGUGUAGCGGUAAAAUGCGUAGAUAUAUGGAGGAACACCAGUGGCGAAGGCGGCUUGCUAGCCAAAGACUGACGCUCAUGCACGAAAGCGUGGGGAGCAAAUAGGAUUAGAUACCCUUGUAGUCCU
This 469-nucleotide ribosomal RNA is filed under the name uncultured bacterium. Its description in RNAcentral is "bacterial SSU rRNA". It matches the Rfam family "Bacterial small subunit ribosomal RNA", at positions 330 to 797 of the family's 1533-position model. The record is from RNAcentral.